This 240-nucleotide ribosomal RNA is filed under the name uncultured Pseudomonadota bacterium. RNAcentral's name for it is "uncultured proteobacterium partial 16S ribosomal RNA". It matches the Rfam family "Bacterial small subunit ribosomal RNA", at positions 29 to 294 of the family's 1533-position model. Lineage: Bacteria; Pseudomonadati; Pseudomonadota. The record is from RNAcentral.
AACGAACGCUGGCGGCAGGCUUAACACAUGCAAGUCGAACGCGUGUAGCAAUACACGAGUGGCGCACGGGUGAGUAACACGUGGAUAUCUGCCUUUUGGUUCGGGAUAACCCUGGGAAACUAGGGCUAAUACCGAAUGGUUCCUACGGGAUAAAGAUUUAUCGCCAAAAGAUGAGUCCGCGUCCGAUUAGCUAGUUGGUGAGGUAACGGCUCACCAAGGCGACGAUCGGUAGCUGGUCUG